AUUGAACGCUGGCGGCAGGCCUAACACAUGCAAGUCGAGCGGAUGAAGGGAGCUUGCUCCUGGAUUCAGCGGCGGACGGGUGAGUAAUGCCUAGGAAUCUGCCUGGUAGUGGGGGAUAACGUCCGGAAACGGGCGCUAAUACCGCAUACGUCCUGAGGGAGAAAGUGGGGGAUCUUCGGACCUCACGCUAUCAGAUGAGCCUAGGUCGGAUCAGCUAGUUGGUGGGGUAAGGGCCUACCAAGGCGACGAUCCGUAACUGGUCUGAGAGGAUGAUCAGUCACACUGGAACUGAGACACGGUCCAGACUCCUACGGGAGGCAGCAGUGGGGAAUAUUGGACAAUGGGCGAAAGCCUGAUCCAGCCAUGCCGCGUGUGUGAAGAAGGUCUUCGGAUUGUAAAGCACUUUAAGUUGGGAGGAAGGGCAGUAAGUUAAUACCUUGCUGUUUUGACGUUACCAACAGAAUAAGCACCGGCUAACUUCGUG
This 484-nucleotide ribosomal RNA is filed under the name uncultured bacterium. Its description in RNAcentral is "partial 16S ribosomal RNA". It matches the Rfam family "Bacterial small subunit ribosomal RNA", at positions 30 to 507 of the family's 1533-position model. The record is from RNAcentral.